GAUGAACGCUGGCGGCGUGCCUAAUACAUGCAAGUCGAGCGAACAGACGAGGAGCUUGCUCCUCUGACGUUAGCGGCGGACGGGUGAGUAACACGUGGAUAACCUACCUAUAAGACUGGGAUAACUUCGGGAAACCGGAGCUAAUACCGGAUAAUAUAUUGAACCGCAUGGUUCAAUAGUGAAAGACGGUUUUGCUGUCACUUAUAGAUGGAUCCGCGCCGCAUUAGCUAGUUGGUAAGGUAACGGCUUACCAAGGCAACGAUGCGUAGCCGACCUGAGAGGGUGAUCGGCCACACUGGAACUGAGACACGGUCCAGACUCCUACGGGAGGCAGCAGUAGGGAAGCUUCCGCAAUGGGCGAAAGCCUGACGGAGCAACGCCGCGUGAGUGAUGAAGGUCUUCGGAUCGUAAAACUCUGUUAUUAGGGAAAAACAAAUGUGUAAGUAACUAUGCACGUCUUGACGGUACCUAAUCAGAAAGCCACGGCUAACUACGUG
This 497-nucleotide ribosomal RNA is filed under the name uncultured bacterium. Its description in RNAcentral is "partial 16S ribosomal RNA". It matches the Rfam family "Bacterial small subunit ribosomal RNA", at positions 28 to 507 of the family's 1533-position model. The record is from RNAcentral.